This 334-nucleotide long non-coding RNA is filed under the name Vigna radiata. RNAcentral describes it as "long non-coding RNA (VRAD_LNC005640)". The record is from RNAcentral. Lineage: Eukaryota; Viridiplantae; Streptophyta; Magnoliopsida; Fabales; Fabaceae.
AGACAACAACUCUGCCAACAACUUUUCCCAAGAGAUAUUUUUAUCUCUUUUGCGGGCCUUCAAGCCAAUUGGGCCUAUCGUGUGUGAAGUAUGAGUUGGGCCAUAUUUUAAUAUGUAGAGCAGGUUUAAUACCUGCUCUGCUUCCGCUAGGCUCUGUUUCGAUUCUUGUUGCGUUCUUUGAUACCUGCUCUGCUUCCGCUAGGCUCUGUUUCGAUUCUUGCUACGUUCUUUGAUUGUUUCUUGGACUUUUUCUUGCCCCUUAUUGAAAUGGAUGUCUCGGAAUCUGACAUAUCAGCCAGUGCCAUGGAUCAACCUGCAAAUCCUACCAGCCCCU